GGUGGCAUGGCUCAGGAGGUAGAGCAGUUGGUUUAGGAAUCAGAUGGUUCCUGAUUCGAUCCCUGGCACCUUCA
Gymnothorax javanicus (giant moray) is the source of this 74-nucleotide non-coding RNA. The record is from the annotation of a GenBank genome assembly. Lineage: Eukaryota; Metazoa; Chordata; Actinopteri; Anguilliformes; Muraenidae.